CUAAAUUUUAUUUUUCUUUCGCCUAUGCUCACUCUCUCUCGCCGUCUCUCCCAAAUGGAGAGUUAAAGAUUUGUUUUUCCUUUUUGUCGACAAAGUCGAAGAGAUGAUAAGAGGAAGAGAAGAAGGCAAAGAAUUUUGUUCAAGCAUCGUGUAUAUGCUAAGAAUGGAAACCAAGUGAUUGGGAAGCUUACAAGAUUUUCAUGUUUUUGGGUUUUGUAGGAUUGACGUUUAUAUAUACGUAUGAUCGAUCAUUUGGUGAAGAAAAACUUCAUAAUACUGCAAAGUCGUUUAUGAUUGAAGGAAAGGUUUCCCCUGAUCGAGUUGGUAAUUAAAUGACUUUCGUGAUCAGAGUACGAUGAAAUGAGGCACAAGUUCAAUUGAAUACAUUGCUAGAGGUGCUACCCAUAACUCUCAAUCAAACUGGUCCAGUGGAUGCUUCACUCUUUAGGCAACCAGUUACAUGGUAUCCAUUGGAAAGGACAAAUAGGGAGAGGCAAUGAAGGAUGCUACCGCAGCUGGUGUCAAUGUCCACUAUUUUGGAGAUGAGUCAAAACCUACCAGAACUUGCCGUGCCUGUGUUCUUGGUGGAG
This is a non-coding RNA of Camelina sativa (false flax), 590 nucleotides long. Lineage: Eukaryota; Viridiplantae; Streptophyta; Magnoliopsida; Brassicales; Brassicaceae. The record is from RefSeq and is a predicted model, not a curated record.